This 342-nucleotide unclassified non-coding RNA is filed under the name Hevea brasiliensis (rubber tree). The record is from RNAcentral. Lineage: Eukaryota; Viridiplantae; Streptophyta; Magnoliopsida; Malpighiales; Euphorbiaceae.
AUUGGGCCUAGUCCAAGAGGAAACUCGAGUUCCAAAGAAGCCAGAAAUCUCGAGAGGAAGAGGAGGAAGAAAGAGAGUGGCGGUGGAAGAAGAAGGAGAGCAUGAUGAAGAUGAAGAUGGAGAAUCUAGGGUUUGGAAACUUCUAGAAACAUAUGAAGAAGAAGGAGUUGGAGGAUUCAAUAGCAUGGCUGAUUGCAUCUCUUCGUAUCAAAUUACCCAAAAUUCAAUCAAAUUCACCAAAUUUGAUGAUUUUUGUUUCUGAAAAUCAAAAAAUAUUUGAUUGCUUUCUCUCACUUUCCCUUCUUGCUUUUUCUUUUUUUUCCUUCUUCUAUUUGUAUUUUG